UGCGCGCUGCGUGCUCUAGUUCCUGUAGCGAGCUGAGCUGGAGUUCCGCAGCUGGUAAUUAGGCGCUCUCGGGUCCUCUCCCGCCAUACAGCUAUCGAGCUUUUCUAGAGGAAGAGCUGAUGAAAAGAGUCACAGCUGAAUAGUGGAGAGAAAAAGCCCGGUAUUUAUUGCUUUUGUUUGGCUUUUGGCUACAGAGACAGGAACCUUCUAAUGGGUGUUUCAGCACUAGAAGCAAUGCUUAAAAUUGAAGAAUGGUGCAUUAUUGAAACUCUCUAUCAAACAGCUCUGGGGUGCAGCCUUUCUGAAAACGCCGGCUCUCGAUGAGGUCUGACUGUCUGACUGCACAUAAGCCCCUAAUAUGUUAAUGGCCGUAGGGGAUGCCUAAGGUACUAUCUCAAGCUGCUUCGCACACCAUAUGUCAGGCCGUUAGCCACAUGGAUCUAUUAAUCAA
Long non-coding RNA from Prionailurus viverrinus (fishing cat), 451 nucleotides. RefSeq lists it as uncharacterized. The transcript has 3 exons. The record is from RefSeq and is a predicted model, not a curated record. Lineage: Eukaryota; Metazoa; Chordata; Mammalia; Carnivora; Felidae.